UGGGGAAUAUUGGACAAUGGGGGAAACCCUGAUCCAGCAAUGCCGCGUGAGUGAUGAAGGCCCUAGGGUUGUAAAACUCUUUCAGAAGUGAAGAUGAUGACGGUAACUUCAGAAGAAGCUCCGGCUAACUCCGUGCCAGCAGCCGCGGUAAUACGGAGGGAGCUAGCGUUGUUCGGAAUUACUGGGCGUAAAGAGCGUGUAGGCUGUUAGGUAAGUCAGAGGUGAAAUCCCUAAGCUCAACUUAGGAACUGCCUUUGAUACUAUCUUACUAGAGAUCGAGAGAAGUUAGCGGAAUUCCAAGUGUAGAGGUGAAAUUCGUAGAUAUUUGGAAGAACACCAGUGGCGAAAGC
This 350-nucleotide ribosomal RNA is filed under the name uncultured bacterium. RNAcentral describes it as "bacterial SSU rRNA". It matches the Rfam family "Bacterial small subunit ribosomal RNA", at positions 355 to 722 of the family's 1533-position model. The record is from RNAcentral.